AACGAACGCUGGCGGCAUGCCUAACACAUGCAAGUCGAACGAGACCUUCGGGUCUAGUGGCGCACGGGUGCGUAACGCGUGGGAAUCUGCCCUUGGGUUCGGAAUAACAGUUGGAAACGACUGCUAAUACCGGAUGAUGACGUAAGUCCAAAGAUUUAUCGCCCAAGGAUGAGCCCGCGUAGGAUUAGCUAGUUGGUGAGGUAAAGGCUCACCAAGGCGACGAUCCUUAGCUGGUCUGAGAGGAUGAUCAGCCACACUGGGACUGAGACACGGCCCAGACUCCUACGGGAGGCAGCAGUGGGGAAUAUUGGACAGUGGGCGAAAGCCUGAUCCAGCAAUGCCGCGUGAGUGAUGAAGGCCUUAGGGUUGUAAAGCUCUUUUACCCGGGAUGAUAAUGACAUUACCGGGAGAAUAAGCUCCGGCUAACUCCGUG
Molecule: ribosomal RNA, 433 nt
Filed under: uncultured bacterium
Lineage: Bacteria
Description: partial 16S ribosomal RNA
Rfam family: Bacterial small subunit ribosomal RNA
Source: RNAcentral